This 375-nucleotide long non-coding RNA is filed under the name Carica papaya (papaya). Its description in RNAcentral is "long non-coding RNA (CPAP_LNC011866)". The record is from RNAcentral. Lineage: Eukaryota; Viridiplantae; Streptophyta; Magnoliopsida; Brassicales; Caricaceae.
GAGUGUUCUUCAAGCUAGACAGCUUUUAGAAGUCUUAUUGAGUCAAGGAAUCAUGAUUGACUUAUCAAAUAAGUCUUGGUGUCGUUCCUUUUUCUUUUUAAUUUUCCAAUUAUCUUGAUAAUUACAUUCCAUAUUGGUGGGUGAAAUUAUCAAGUAGGGAGGGUGAAUUAGGUGGUUGAAUCUUUUGAUCACGUGUUGUGAGGUUCUGGGAGUAUUACGAUCAUUUCAAGUCCCUCUCGCGUCAAAAGGCAUGCAAGAUUCUACCCGCCUCCACCUACAAAUCGGAAUCGCAAGCUGCAAAGUGAGGGAAGUACUUAACGAAUGCGACCAGAUCUGGAAGAGAGAUGAAGCAUGACCAAAUCUAGAAGACAAGAA